This 460-nucleotide ribosomal RNA is filed under the name uncultured bacterium. RNAcentral describes it as "partial 16S ribosomal RNA". It matches the Rfam family "Bacterial small subunit ribosomal RNA", at positions 338 to 795 of the family's 1533-position model. The record is from RNAcentral.
CCUACGGGAGACUGCAGUGAGGAAUAUUGGUCAAUGGGCGGGAGCCUGAACCAGCCAAGUCGCGUGAGGGAAGACGGUCCUAUGGAUUGUAAACCUCUUUAGGCGGGGAGCAAUGCCGGGCACGUGUGCCCGGAGGGAGAGUACCCGCAGAAUAAGCAUCGGCUAACUCCGUGCCAGCAGCCGCGGUAAUACGGAGGAUGCGAGCGUUAUCCGGAUUUAUUGGGUUUAAAGGGUGCGUAGGCGGAUUUUUAAGUCAGCGGUAAAAUGUCCGGGCUCAACCCGGGCCGGCCGUUGAUACUGUAGGACUAGAGAUCGGAUGCAGCAGGCGGAAUGUGUAGUGUAGCGGUGAAAUGCAUAGAUAUUACACAGAACACCGAUUGCGAAGGCAGCUUGCUAGGCCGGAUCUGACACUGAUGCACGAAAGCGUGGGGAUCGAACAGGAUUAGAUACCCGAGUAGUC